This 495-nucleotide ribosomal RNA is filed under the name uncultured bacterium. RNAcentral describes it as "partial 16S ribosomal RNA". It matches the Rfam family "Bacterial small subunit ribosomal RNA", at positions 28 to 507 of the family's 1533-position model. The record is from RNAcentral.
GGUGAACGCUGGCGGCGUGCCUAAUACAUGCAAGUAGAACGCUGAAGGAGGAGCUUGCUCUUCUGGAUGAGUUGCGAACGGGUGAGUAACGCGUAGGUAACCUGCCUGGUAGCGGGGGAUAACUAUUGGAAACGAUAGCUAAUACCGCAUGACAACAGUUAUUGCAUGAUAACUGUUUAAAAGGGGCAACUGCUCCACUACCAGAUGGACCUGCGUUGUAUUAGCUAGUUGGUGAGGUAACGGCUCACCAAGGCGACGAUACAUAGCCGACCUGAGAGGGUGAUCGGCCACACUGGGACUGAGACACGGCCCAGACUCCUACGGGAGGCAGCAGUAGGGAAUCUUCGGCAAUGGACGGAAGUCUGACCGAGCAACGCCGCGUGAGUGAAGAAGGUUUUCGGAUCGUAAAGCUCUGUUGUAAGAGAAGAACGAGUGUGAGAGUGGAAAGUUCACGCUGUGACGGUAUCUUACCAGAAAGGGACGGCUAACUACGUG